Molecule: ribosomal RNA, 465 nt
Filed under: uncultured bacterium
Lineage: Bacteria
Description: bacterial SSU rRNA
Rfam family: Bacterial small subunit ribosomal RNA
Source: RNAcentral
GGAGGAAAGUAGGGGAUCGCAAGACCUUGCGCUUUUUGAGCGGCCGAUGCCUGAUUAGCUAGUUGGUAAGGUAAUGGCUUACCAAGGCAACGAUCAGUAGCUGGUCUGAGAGGACGACCAGCCACACUGGGACUGAGACACGGCCCAGACUCCUACGGGAGGCAGCAGUGGGGAAUUUUGGACAGUGGGCGAAAGCCUGAUCCAGCCAUGCCGCGUGAGUGAAGAAGGCCUUCGGGUUGUAAAGCUCUUUCGGUCGGGAAGAAAUAGUUGUGGCUAAUAUCCACAAUGAAUGACGGUACCGACAUAAGAAGCACCGGCUAACUACGUGCCAGCAGCCGCGGUAAUACGUAGGGUGCAAGCGUUAAUCGGAAUUAUUGGGCGUAAAGGGUGCGCAGGCGGUUGUAUAAGUCAGAUGUGAAAUCCCUGGGCUUAACCUAGGAAUUGCGUUUGAAACUACAAAGCUAG